CUGCGUGUAGCUCAGUGGUAGAGCGGCUGUUUUAUAUCAGCAGGUUUAGGCCGAUGAAGGACGCUGGUUCGAUUCCAGCCACGCAAGCCA
Molecule: transfer RNA, 90 nt
Filed under: Gammaproteobacteria bacterium
Lineage: Bacteria; Pseudomonadati; Pseudomonadota; Gammaproteobacteria
Description: tRNA-OTHER
Rfam family: tRNA
About the family: Transfer RNA (tRNA) molecules are approximately 80 nucleotides in length. Their secondary structure includes four short double-helical elements and three loops (D, anti-codon, and T loops).
Source: RNAcentral